UGGUGCAUGGUUGUCGUCAGCUCGUGUCGUGAGAUGUUGGUUAAGUCCCGCAACGAGCGCAACCCCUAUUGUUAGUUGCCAUCAUUCAGUUGGGCACUCUAGCGAGACUGCCGGUAAUAAACCGGAGGAAGGUGGGGAUGACGUCAAAUCAUCAUGCCCCUUAUGACCUGGGCUACACACGUGCUACAAUGGUUGGUACAACGAGUUGCGAGUCGGUGACGGCGAGCUAAUCUCUUAAAGCCAAUCUCAGUUCGGAUUGUAGGCUGCAACUCGCCUACAUGAAGUCGGAAUCGCUAGUAAUCGCGGAUCAGCACGCCGCGGUGAAUACGUUCCCGGGCCUU
Molecule: ribosomal RNA, 341 nt
Filed under: uncultured Streptococcus sp.
Lineage: Bacteria; Bacillati; Bacillota; Bacilli; Lactobacillales; Streptococcaceae
Description: bacterial SSU rRNA
Rfam family: Bacterial small subunit ribosomal RNA
Source: RNAcentral